This is a non-coding RNA of Bos taurus (domestic cattle), 72 nucleotides long. The record is from Rfam. NCBI's taxonomy places the organism in Eukaryota, Metazoa, Chordata, Mammalia, Artiodactyla, Bovidae.
UCCCAGGUGGCUCAGACGGUUAAGAAUCUGCCUGCGAUGCAGGAGACCCGGGUUCAACCCCUGGUUCAGGAA